RNAcentral lists this RNase P RNA (363 nucleotides) under Mariprofundus micogutta. RNAcentral describes it as "RNaseP_bact_b". It matches the Rfam family "Bacterial RNase P class A". Rfam says of the family: Ribonuclease P (RNase P) is a ubiquitous endoribonuclease, found in archaea, bacteria and eukarya as well as chloroplasts and mitochondria. Its best characterised activity is the generation of mature 5'-ends of tRNAs by cleaving the 5'-leader elements of precursor-tRNAs. The record is from RNAcentral. Lineage: Bacteria; Pseudomonadati; Pseudomonadota; Candidatius Mariprofundia; Mariprofundales; Mariprofundaceae.
UGGUCCGGAUGGUCGCGUCAGAUGUAUUUCUGCCGAGGAAAGUCCGGGCUGCAACAGGACAAGACGCCGGUUAACGGCCGGCAGGGGCGACCCUGGGAAAGUGCCACAGAGAAUAACCGCCAGCCGUUUCUUAGUAAGCCGCUGGUAAGGGUGAAAAGGUGUGGUAAGAGCGCACCGCCCGGACUGGUAACAGGCCGGGGCAUAGGUAAACCCCGUCUGCAGCAAGGCCAAAUAGGGAAGCGCCAAGCGUGGUCCACGUUUGCUUCCGGGUAGGCUGCUCGAGCCUGUCAGCAAUGGCAGGCCUAGAUGAAUGACCAUUACCCGGAUCGGUAACGAUCCGGAGACAAAACCCGGCUUACAGGG